CGGUUGACCAUGGUGUGUACG
This 21-nucleotide microRNA is filed under the name Dasypus novemcinctus (nine-banded armadillo). RNAcentral also lists the same sequence under 10 other names. Lineage: Eukaryota; Metazoa; Chordata; Mammalia; Cingulata; Dasypodidae. The record is from RNAcentral.